AGUGAACGCUGGCGGCAGGCCUAACACAUGCAAGUCGAACGGCAGCACAAGAGAGCUUGCUCUCUGGGUGGCGAGUGGCGGACGGGUGAGGAAUGCAUCGGAAUCUGCCCAUUUGUGGGGGAUAGCCUCGGGAAACCGGGACUAAUACCGCAUACGACCUACGGGUGAAAGCAGGGGAUCUUCGGACCUUGCGUAGAUGGAUGAGCCGAUGCCGGAUUAGCUAGUUGGAGGGGUAAAGGCCCACCAAGGCGACGAUCCGUAGCUGGUCUGAGAGGAUGAUCAGCCACACGGGGACUGAGACACGGCCCAGACGCCUACGGGAGGCAGCAGUGGGGAAUAUUGGACAAUGGGCGCAAGCCUGAUCCAGCCAUGCCGCGUGUGUGAAGAAGGCCUUCGGGUUGUAAAGCACGUUUGUUGGGAAAGAAAAGCAGCCGGUUAAUACCCGGUUGUCAUGACGGUACCCAAAGAAUAAGCACCGGCUAACUUCGUG
RNAcentral lists this ribosomal RNA (490 nucleotides) under uncultured bacterium. Its description in RNAcentral is "partial 16S ribosomal RNA". It matches the Rfam family "Bacterial small subunit ribosomal RNA", at positions 29 to 507 of the family's 1533-position model. The record is from RNAcentral.